Molecule: ribosomal RNA, 99 nt
Filed under: Clostridium gasigenes
Lineage: Bacteria; Bacillati; Bacillota; Clostridia; Eubacteriales; Clostridiaceae
Source: RNAcentral
GAGGAAACACUCCUUUCCAUUCCGAACAGGAAAGUUAAGCUCUACAGCGCUAAUGGUACUGCACGGGCAGCUGUGUGGGAGAGUAGGACGUCGCCAGGU